Molecule: long non-coding RNA, 4324 nt
Organism: Manis pentadactyla (Chinese pangolin)
Lineage: Eukaryota; Metazoa; Chordata; Mammalia; Pholidota; Manidae
Exons: 3
Source: RefSeq, a predicted model, not a curated record
GAAGACAGUCUGAAUAAUUGUUCUUAUGUGAACAGUAGAGAAUUAUGGCCUUUGUUGUGCACAGGGAUCCAAUUCCCACAGCGCAUCAUUCCUGCAUGGAGGUUUCUUUUCUUACAGGUGUUAGCUUGGACCGGUCUCAGGGGUCCGUCAGCUGCCUACCACAUGUAUAAGUAUGAGCCUGACAUGCAUAGAAAAUAUCAGGUCCUUUCUCAAGGCGCAGGUUGAAAUAGAUUCCCAUUUGGCAGUGUGACAUUUGCUCCAAGACAGGUUCUAAGUUGCCAGAAACAUAAGUUUUUUCAUUUGUUUCAAGCUGGACAAUUCCACUCACAUCACAAGGCCCUUGAGACACUGAAGGAGAGCUUUGAAAAGGGAUGGGUGUUAUCGUUUUUGGAACUGGGACUGGAGAUAGGCUUUUGAUUUUUUUUUUGCAUGACACAAAAGAUAAUCCCAAAAUACUAGCCAGUGACAUCAAAAAAGAUUACAUUUCCCAUAUCUUCAAAAAUAAUGCUCUCUUGGGUCUCCAUUCAUGUGAUCGUUAGCAGUGAACUCUUCUUAGAGUGACCCCUACCCUGAAAUAUUGCUGAGAGGCCCCCAAGGGGUGUCCAGUAUGUGAUCACAAACCAGUUUGUUGGCUGAGCACUUAGCUAUGUCUGCUUUGUCAUUCCUGUUAGUCAGGUUCCCACGUAGUUGAUCUUUUGCCCAAGAAAUAAUUAUAUAGGCUUCACUGCUUAUAGUCAGAAUUCUAGUAUCCAAGUCAAGAAUCAAGUCUACAGACCUUAAAACAUUCAUUCUUGAGUUGUGGAUUAGUCGGGAGAGCUACACUACGCUGCAGUAACAAAUAAACCACUAACAAGUGUUUGUCUUUUACUCAGCAGUCGGUGCUCGAUGGCUGUCCGUGGCCCCUUUCCUCUGAAUGCCGAUGACGCCAUCUGAAACAGGCAGCCUCAGAAGCUACCACAGAAGGACAUGGGAGCUUCAUGGCCAGGCUUCAAUGUCUGCAUCACAUCUGCCCACAUUCCUUUCUGCAGAACUCAGUCACGUGGCUCCACCCCAACUGCAGGGGAGGCUGUGGAAAUGCCGUCUUCCUGUGUGUCCUGAAGAGAAAAAGGAAACAUUAGGUAAAUAUGUAACACAGAGUCCACCACACAGAAGCAGUGCAUGUCUGAGUUCUGGGCAGAAGUCUGGAAGACGCAGCCUUCCCUGCCCUCCCUCACCAGGACUCUGGCCAUACUAUGACCCUACCUGAAUCAGAAACAGAUCAGCUUGAGCUCAGAGUCCCACUAUUGUUUCACUUAAUUGUGGCUCUUAUAUCUUGAACUACGUAAGUUCAAACCGAUUCUGGUGGUCCUGCUUAGAACAAGAUACCAUGCUCUUCUCCUAAUAGUCUUUCAUUCUGUUCCUAAAAUUCGUAUUUCUAAAUCUUAUUUCUUCCUUAGUUAUAAAGCCCAAAUUCCUGGCCAUGCAUCUGUGCAAACACGUAGAGGAGGAAAGGGUAGUGGGAGGUCACUCACACUAACAUCACUGGGGUUCUGCCUUUGUCAGCAAAAGGGCUUUGAACCAUGGGUUCUACCUGAUUUUCAACCUCUUCAGAAGACUGUGGGAUUGGUGAUGCAAAGAUGGAACCACCAUAAUUUGGAAAGCUCAAUCCCUUAAGAUUCUCUUCAGCCCCAAGGGACCCAGCACUUGAACAACAGUGGCUUAAAAUGAAAUCCCACUAGAUCUGGAGCCUGCAGAUGGGAUCCUGGUAAAGCUGGCAGACGCCAGCAGAGGGUGAGCAUUCUUCUGGGGUCAGCUCUUCUGAAUCUCCACAGUGCCUGGCUCUGAGAGGAAGAAGUGAAAUUCAUGGAAAGGACCCUACCAACUACCAUGGACCCUUGACACCACAAAAUCACAAGGUAUCAAACCUUUCACAACUGAAGAAGGUUGCACCUGAUAUCUGAUCCUAUACAAUGCUGGAGACCUCAAAAUCAAAGAUUAGGAAGAGAAGUAGCUGGACUGAGGUAGACAUACUGCUUCCUCCCACCAUGCUGAGUCAAGAACUUUUAUUUCCAAUUCUUACACUAUGAAUGAAGCUCUUUAUGAUUCUUGUAUCUUCCUUUGGCCUUGCUCUGUCCCAGAAAAAUGCCACUGUUCACAUAUGAGGCCUUGCAUGGGGAGGUGCAAUCCAGCCUUCAAACUACUAAUGGAUUAUCCUAUAGUUUUAUCCAUUGCAAACCUCUCCCUGAUUUCCAGUGCCUUGGUUUCUCAGGAACAAACUCUGCCCCUUUCUUUGGUUGUCCGGUUGUCCAUUUCCCUUCUCUUGUUGGCAAAUCCAAACUCAGGGAAACUAGCACCCAGGCUCUGCACCAAGAAAGGAACCCAAGGGCAGCCAGCAUAAAACUAUCUGUACAGUCUACAGACCCUUACAUUUUACUGACUUUCAGAGCUGUCACCUUUCCAGUUCUGAGCCACAAGUUCCAACAGGAAGUAGUAAGAGGCAUUCAUGAUUCAAAAUUAGUUUCCUUUGGCAGGUCCCACUCCUCUGACUAGGGGUAAGUGCAAACGAAGCUAUGAUCAGUAACCUCUUCUUAUUGGAUCUACUGCACAAUCUGCUGCUAAAGGAAUAGCUACCCAAUUGACAAAGUUGUUCCUGAUGAAAGAAGAGCCCUUCAAUACAGUCUUUUGUUGACAUCAUUGAUUCUGAUCAGUCUGGGUCUUGGGGCCAUGGCUCUGAAGUUUGCUCCAGACACUGGGGGUUAUCCUGUUUCUAAUAAUCACAAAUCACAGGAGUCUUCCCAGGGUGCUGUGUUUUCUCAAAAGCUUUAAAUGCAUAUUCAAAGCCAAUAAACACCGAGAAAAUGAUUUUUGUAAUAUUAGAACUUCAGAAAAGGAAUGAAGAGAGUGAUCUACUUUAAUGUGAACCUGACACUGACCUAUGGCUACCCCACAGAGGAUCAGCAAAAAAACUUCACAAAUUCCAGUGUGGUAGCUGGGGGUAGAGCUGAUACAUUAAAUUUUUAGCACAAGACAACAGGUCAAAAAUGGAAUCACUUAUGCUAAGCCCCAUGUCACCAAACCAAGACUUAAUUACAGUUUUGACUGUUCCAGAAAUGGAAUCUUAAAUCAGGCAAGCAGGAGAAACCUGGCAGCACUAGUAGGGUGAACACCUGCUAGGCCCCUGCCUUCUCCUGAUGGGAAGUAACUCUGCAAUGACCAAACCUGCUUUUUUGGCGACAGUAACUCCCUUAUUUCCACUCCCUCCUUUCUAUCUGCUAGACGGAUGUUGCCUGAUUCAUCAAUCACUGGAUAAAGCCAGUAAGAUUUUAAAAUUUACCCAGUUGAAUUUUGUUUUUUAACAGUACAAAUCCAUGAUGGGGAAUCCUAUUCAUUGAUAAGGAGUCAUGUUAGGAAUAAAGAAGUUGGAUAUUUUAAGAUUAAUGGAAGUUUUUAAAUAGGCAUAUGGCUGCAAAAAAACAUUCCAGCCCCUUUUAAUUCAUUGUUCCUUGGAGAAACAUCCAAAGGAUAAUUCGGAAGUACUGACUACUCAUUACAAUGGGUGAAAAGUAAUAAUAUUAAAUUUAGUUCAUGAUAGUCUACUCUCAAAAGUAGGAACAGGGAUUUUUUGUUUGUUUCUAUCAAACAGGUCACUUUUUAAAUUGGAAAAUGAGUGAAUUUUUAAAAGUCUUUUAAGCUCUAAGUAAAUGACAUUGCCCAUUAUAUAAAAAUAUACACACUACAAUGAAAAAUUUACCAGACUAUUCAACUUCCAUAAUUGAAUUGUCUAACUGUUGGGGGUCUAUUCAUUAUACAAAAAUUGAUUCAUAGUAAGUGAAAUUUGUAUAUUAAACAGUUUUUCCAAAUAACUGACUACCGUUCUAAUGGUCUUGUUUAUUUAAACAAUUAACAAUUACUGAGAAAGAAAAGUUGAGGCCAAUUAAAGACCAAGGUAAUACACACAUUGCAUGUUCCAGCAAUUAAUUGAUAACUUGCUUACCAGGGGCUAUCUAACAAUUAACCAGGGAAAUACUUCUAGGAAAUAGAAGCAUUAAUGCAAAUGUCUUCUAGAUUUAUUCUUUUCAAAUCCAUUUACCACAUUAUCUAAUCUGGCAUAGGCAGAAAACCCCCAAGGAAGAUUAAUAUUCAAAACACCUCUAAAGCCCUCUGGUGUUAGGAACCUUAAUUGUUUUGGCAACAUAAAUUGUUAAAGCAAGGAUUUCUAAGGACAGUUCUUAGCUAUCAUGGUCAGAAAUGUGACUCAAAAAUGGAGCAUAAAGAGUUGUAUAGACGCUGCAGCCUGGUGGCUCUCAGUAUGUUCUUGAUUCAUGUGGCUACAGAUGAUACACUC